Vittaforma corneae ATCC 50505 is the source of this 72-nucleotide transfer RNA. It matches the Rfam family "tRNA". From Rfam's summary of the family: Transfer RNA (tRNA) molecules are approximately 80 nucleotides in length. Their secondary structure includes four short double-helical elements and three loops (D, anti-codon, and T loops). The record is from Rfam. NCBI's taxonomy places the organism in Eukaryota, Fungi, Microsporidia, Nosematidae.
GACCGCAUGGCGCAGUGGUAGCGCUUCUGAUUCCAGUCCAGAAGGUCGUCCGUUCGAAUCGGGCUGCGGUCA